AAAUCAUCAGAGUUUGCUCACUGAUCUAUCCCUCUCUUUGCUGAAGCUCUUAGAGAUGGCUUGAAUUGGGCUAUCGCCAAUGGUUUUGAUGUCUUCCCCCCGACCUUUCCGAGCAUCACACGGUGUGUGAACAUACGACUUUCUUCUACUACUGCUGAGCUUCUCUACUUAUUCCGGCCCGAGCUCGAAGGCGGGGCCCAGCCCGGACCCGAUUUUUGAAACGUCCAGUGACGCUGCGUACGCUGAUGAUCAAUCCACCCGCCGGAGCACAAUAACCUGUACACUCUCUUUUCAUACAAAAUUGCCGGCGAGCGAAUGUCUUCACUAUUUCAUCGCAAAGAAAAGUCCAAGACAAUACAACUAGA
Molecule: small RNA, 365 nt
Filed under: Histoplasma capsulatum var. duboisii H88
Lineage: Eukaryota; Fungi; Ascomycota; Eurotiomycetes; Onygenales; Ajellomycetaceae
Description: Histoplasma capsulatum H88 hypothetical RNA
Source: RNAcentral